AGGACGAACGCUGGCGGCGUGCCUAACACAUGCAAGUGGAGCGACGAACCAGGCUUCGGCCUGGGGCAAAGCCGCGAACGGGUGAGUAACACGUGGGUAACCUGCCCCGAUGACCGGGACAACCCGAGGAAACUCGGGCUAAUACCGGAUGUGUCCUCCGGCCAUAAGGCCGCUGGGGAAAGGAAGCUUCGGCCUCCGCAUCGGGAUGGGCCCGCGGCCCAUUAGCUUGUUGGUGAGGUAACGGCUCACCAAGGCGACGAUGGGUAGCUGGUCUGAGAGGACGAUCAGCCACACUAGGACUGAGACACGGCCCAGACUCCUACGGAGGCAGCAGUGGGGAAUAUUGGACAAUGGGGGCAACCCUGAUCCAGCAAUGCCGCGUGAGUGAUGAAGGCCUUAGGGUUGUAAAGCUCUUUCGGCGGGGACGAUGAUGACGGUACCCGCAGAAGAAGCCCCGGCUAACUUCGUGCCAGCAGCCGC
This 480-nucleotide ribosomal RNA is filed under the name uncultured bacterium. RNAcentral's name for it is "SSU rRNA". It matches the Rfam family "Bacterial small subunit ribosomal RNA", at positions 26 to 518 of the family's 1533-position model. The record is from RNAcentral.